This 612-nucleotide long non-coding RNA is filed under the name Sorghum bicolor (sorghum). RNAcentral describes it as "long non-coding RNA (SBIC_LNC018172)". The record is from RNAcentral. Lineage: Eukaryota; Viridiplantae; Streptophyta; Magnoliopsida; Poales; Poaceae.
GCUGUGUGCCUGUGUCGUUGUACAGAUCAUGUUGAAGAUGUCCGAUCUCAAUCUGAAUGCAGAGGACGAAGGUGAAGUGGGGCUUGACCUUGUUUAGUUCAAAAAAAAUUCAGAUUUCACUAAUGUAAUACUUUCGUUUUUAUUUAACAAAUAUUAUCUAAUUAUAAAUUAACUAGAAUUAAAAGAUUCGUCUCACGAUUUACAGAUAAACUGUGUAAUUAGUUUUUAUUUUCGUCUAUAUUUAAUACUUCAUACAUAUAUCGUAAGAUUCGAUGUGACGAAAAAUCUUAAAACUUUUUAAAUUUCAGGGUGAACUAAACAAGUCCAGGUAGUACUCGUAUAGGCCGGUGAAAGUUCUGAGAACGCCUCGUUUAACUAGCUCUCGGUACCCUCUAUAUACCAAAUAAUUUGGCCAAAUGAAACAAAUGAGCGUGCGCCAGAUAUAUAGGACCGGGUAGAGUAAUAACUUAAAAAAAAAAGAACGAUAGCAGCCUAGAGUACUGUAGAACAUGCGUAUUCCAUAACUGAGCUUGUAUACCAUUGCUUAUUUGCCUGACUAUAGCAUAUAAUAAACAAAAAAAAUAGGAAAUUGAUAUGUACUGCCUCCAUAUC